CAGCACCUCAAGUGGUCAGGAUGAUUAUUGGGCCUAAAGCAUCCGUAGCCGGCGCUGUAAGUUUUCGGUUAAAUCUGUACGCUCAACGUACAGGCUGCCGGGAAUACUGCAGCGCUAGGGAGUGGGAGAGGUAGACGGUACUCGGUAGGAAGGGGUAAAAUCCUUUGAUCUAUUGAUGACUACCUGUGGCGAAGGCGGUCUACCAGAACACGUCCGACGGUGAGGGAUGAAAGCUGGGGGAGCAAACCGGAUUAGAGACCCGAGUAGUCC
This 270-nucleotide ribosomal RNA is filed under the name uncultured archaeon. RNAcentral's name for it is "partial 16S ribosomal RNA". It matches the Rfam family "Archaeal small subunit ribosomal RNA", at positions 477 to 747 of the family's 1478-position model. The record is from RNAcentral.